GGGCGUAGAGGUGGAGACAAGCCGUCAUAAUUAUCACAAAGAAGAGGAUAACAAUCGCGGUUAGCAUAAUCCUACCGCUUAAAGAAUAGCCUUUGCUGUAGUAUUCAUUGCUGGGAAUUCCUUGGUCUGAAUCCAUAGUGAGAGUGUUUGGUGAGAAAGAAAGAGGAGAGUGGAAGGGGGCUUUUAGUAGGUGAGAGAUCAGAAAGGAGUAAGAGAAGAGGAG
Molecule: unclassified non-coding RNA, 223 nt
Filed under: Hevea brasiliensis (rubber tree)
Lineage: Eukaryota; Viridiplantae; Streptophyta; Magnoliopsida; Malpighiales; Euphorbiaceae
Source: RNAcentral